UUUUUUUUAGAACGAAGGCUCAGGACGAGCCCGGCUUUGAAUUAAAAAAGCCAUCAACCGGCCAGGAUUACAACAAGCACCAAGUACAGAGACGAACACAGAAAACAGCUAAAAGGGUACAAGAGUGCUGUGCUAACAGCUAAUAGGCUUCCUACCAUCCACAAGCAAAGAUGCAGCAUCUAAAGAACAAGACCAGCUUGGAGACGUUGAAGCCCUCCACCGAGUGAGAUCCACCCCACCGAGACACCAUCUGACCUUGAGGAGACCCAGCUAGCAAGCGGGGGUGACGAUGGCAGCUCCAUGGGCUCCGGCCGAAGCGGCGACAACCUCCUACAUCUCCGAAAGGGGCUCCCUAGCCCCUCGCCUGGCACGAGGCGCUGAUCCGUCGGACGAUGAGAACGCUCUCCCAAGAGCAAAGGUGUACACCCGACGCCAUGGCCACACGAAAUGCCAUACCAGAGCACCAUCAACACGCGUCGCCGAGCUCAACGAAGGGCAACAUGGCACUGGGAGGGAACCAACACGCAAGGAGAAGCAAAAGCACGGUGGGGCUGCCGAUGACAGAGCAACAAUGGAGUGGAGCCACUGGACUGAACAUGGAGACGAAGCUGCCAAACGCCCACCAGCUCCAACCAUGUCGCCGCCAGACGCCCACCAACCAGAUCGGACUCACCACCGCCCCAAACUCACCGAAGGCGGCACCACCAUGGGGGUGACGGCGCCGCGAGCGUCGCUGCCGCCCAAUCCAAAGGGAUUUGGGUUUUCACCCCGGUAUACGAGCAGGGGAACGAGGCAGAGGGGGAAAGGGAUAACCUUGACGGCGCCUACAAGUAGGAGACGGCGCCCUCAGGCGUCGCCGUCGUCGUGGCCGGCAGAGCCAGCCAUGGAUUUCUCCGGGCUCCACGUCUUCCCCACCCCUAGCACAGACGCGGCGCCGGCAGCCUGGGCCAGCCGGAGACCAGAUCUGACAGGGGCCGAAAGGGUUGGAGACGGAGGCGUCAGAUCCGGGAUGGGCGCCCCCGCGGCCACCGCGCCCCACAGCCACCACCCGCCGCCGCCUUGCCACCCGCGCGGCCAAGGAGGACGGCCAGCACUAGCGACGGCCGCUUGCUGAGGUCGCCGUCGCUCCACCACCCGAGGCCGCCGCCGCCUCGGCUCCAAAGCCCCCUGCACGAGACAGGGCGGAACAGAUCCUCGCCACCACCCUUCCCGGGCGGACGCGCAGCACUCCGGCGACCCCCUCCGGUGGUGGCGAGGGAGAGGAGAGUGGGGGAGGGGAGGCUGGCGGCGGGCUAGGUUAUCACCGCCCGAGUCGCCCCUGCGGGAGCGACGCGGGGGCCGGGCCAGAGAGUUAAACUCGUGUGAUAUUUCUAGACCCCAUGUUCCACUGUCCUAUAUUUUAUUAAUUUUGUCUAACUAACUGUAUACAUCGACAUAAGUACGUAACAUGUUUAGCUUGCUAAUUAUAUUGGCCCACAUCUGAAUACCGACCACCAACAUAAUUACUAGCUAGCUGCCUAAUCAGAAAAUAUUCGCUCUAAAUCAACAAAUAUUUAACAGAUGCUAUGAUUAGUACAAAUUACACUAUCAUUAAUUAAUUGGCAAAUAAUAGCAUACGAACACCCUAAUUCUUGAACAUGUUAAUUCCAAUUUUUUUAUGGGUUGGUACAUAAUUAUGAUUAGCGCAAAGGGUGGACGUAGAGGGCACCCAAAUAAGGUGCCCUUGGUGUACGGCCCCUUCUAGGAUUGGGAAUUUUUU
RNAcentral lists this ribosomal RNA (1759 nucleotides) under Triticum aestivum (bread wheat). Its description in RNAcentral is "partial small subunit ribosomal RNA". The record is from RNAcentral. Lineage: Eukaryota; Viridiplantae; Streptophyta; Magnoliopsida; Poales; Poaceae.